This 269-nucleotide ribosomal RNA is filed under the name Escherichia coli. Its description in RNAcentral is "partial 23S ribosomal RNA". It matches the Rfam family "Bacterial large subunit ribosomal RNA", at positions 144 to 451 of the family's 2925-position model. The record is from RNAcentral. Lineage: Bacteria; Pseudomonadati; Pseudomonadota; Gammaproteobacteria; Enterobacterales; Enterobacteriaceae.
CACACUAUCAUUAACUGAAUCCAUAGGUUAAUGAGGCGAACCGGGGGAACUGAAACAUCUAAGUACCCCGAGGAAAAGAAAUCAACCGAGAUUCCCCCAGUAGCGGCGAGCGAACGGGGAGCAGCCCAGAGCCUGAAUCAGUGUGUGUGUUAGUGGAAGCGUCUGGAAAGGCGCGCGAUACAGGGUGACAGCCCCGUACACAAAAAUGCACAUACUGUGAGCUCGAUGAGUAGGGCGGGACACGUGGUAUCCUGUCUGAAUAUGGGGGG